RNAcentral lists this ribosomal RNA (446 nucleotides) under uncultured bacterium. RNAcentral's name for it is "bacterial SSU rRNA". It matches the Rfam family "Bacterial small subunit ribosomal RNA", at positions 329 to 792 of the family's 1533-position model. The record is from RNAcentral.
UACCAGACUCCUACGGGAGGCAGCAGUGGGGGAUAUUGCACAAUGGGGGAAACCCUGAUGCAGCGACGCCGCGUGGGUGAAGAAGCGCCUCGGCGCGUAAAGCCCUGUCAGCAGGGAAGAAAAUGACGGUACCUGAAGAAGAAGCCCCGGCUAACUACGUGCCAGCAGCCGCGGUAAUACGUAGGGGGCAAGCGUUAUCCGGAUUUACUGGGUGUAAAGGGGGCGCAGACGGCGAUGCAAGCCAGGAGUGAAAGCCCGGGGCCCAACCCCGGGACUGCUCUUGGAACUGCGUGGCUGGAGUGCAGGAGGGGCAGGCGGAAUUCCUGGUGUAGCGGUGAAAUGCGUAGAUAUCAGGAGGAACACCGGUGGCGAAGGCGGCCUACUGGACUGCAACUGACGUUGAGGCCCGAAAGCGUGGGGAGCAAACAGGAUUAGAUACCCCCGUA